Molecule: long non-coding RNA, 646 nt
Organism: Frieseomelitta varia
Lineage: Eukaryota; Metazoa; Arthropoda; Insecta; Hymenoptera; Apidae
Exons: 2
Source: RefSeq, a predicted model, not a curated record
GUAGAAAUCUAUGUACUGAUAUCUAUGUACCGAUAUCUACUGCAUUUGUAAUGACAAUGGAAGAAAUUUUGAAAGAAUAAGGAAAUAAUAUUGCUGAUAUUACCGCUUGAUACGAUGUUCCACGAUUUUAUACUUUCUUGGCAAUAUUCUGAUUAUUAGAUAAUACGAAACUAUCGCAUGUUGGUGAGUACAUUUUCUUCUGUACAGACUUUUAAACCAGAUUUUAUUGCUUGCGUGUGGAGAAAAGCUAUGUAGUAGGUUAGUACUUAAACGUUGUGUGCGUGAAAACGUGCUCUACCACUUCAUAUUACAUGAAUUACAGAAGCACCAUACGAUAAAAGUUUAUUUAAUACACAGUCAAAACAAAAAUGUUUGUUUUUAAAUUUCGGAUUGGACUGUCGACUUGUAUUUGAACAAGCUAGUUUAAAUAUAAUUUGUAGUGAUAGCAGUGUUUUAGUAUGAAUAAUUUCUUUCAAGAUGAUUUCCGCAAAAGUUUCCAAAUAUUACGCACUAAGGAUGCGAAAGUAAUCACGCAUGAGCGGUGUCCUGAAAUGUUUCUCCAGUGCGACUACUGUAAUGUCGAUACCAGGGAACAAUUCUCUGUAACCGGCGCAAUCUGUACCAAAAGCAAAAUAAACUCCCGCUG